CCAAGACCUGCAAACAAACAAACAAAAAGCAUAAAUAAGGAGAUGGAGGGAAGGACAGAGCAGAGAGAUGGGAGUAGAGAGAAGGGAGGAAGAGGAAAAGGAGGAGAGACUAUUUGAAGCACUCAAUAAUCUAGGAGGUCAUAGAGGAUCUCUCUCUCUCUCUCUUUGUGUACUGACUCUAUAGAGCUGGCUUCGAAAGAGGGACAAAUUUUUUCUACAUGCAGAACAGAAAUAUGAUAGCUAUGUCUUACAUAGCGGGAGAAGAAUGCCUUCAACUUGUGUGUUGUCUUUCUUCUGUGUGGGUUCAAAGUACUCCACAAACAUGACAUCAUUACUCCCUGGAAGGACCUGUGGACCAACUCUCAGGAAAAGAAUCCCCUUUCAUUCAGGAGCUUGGGGAGCUCAAACACAGAUUAGUGCCCAUUUUGAGUUUAUGCAAAAUGUCUUCCAAGGAUUCAAUCUUAGCCCUUCUUAUAGGCGAGCACUCAUUAUUACUCAUGGGUGACUGGAAGAAGUCUAAGUGAGGUUUCUUGGUAAACUCAUACUUUAAAAAGGCAAACUGUGAUGUUUUAUCACUUUUUGCUUAUUUCUCCCCAAUGAUCAGUCUUAGUACUUCGAGUUAUUUAUCAGACAUCUUUGUUUUGAACAAGGCAAAAAUAAAGUGAGAACAAAAUGAGAUAGCAAGUAGCAUAGCACCCAGCAGGAUCCCCUGGGAUCAAGUCUGGAGUUUCAGAGCACAACCCAAGGAGGAGAGAAAAGAUACUAUCUGGUGUCCUCUUGCCAUCUCUCAGUAAAGCACAGUUGCUAAAACCCUGUUAACAACUUGAAGUGGACAGUGUAAGUGAGAGUUCUAGUUUUCAGUCACUAUAACUUCUUUUUUUCCCUUGUGUUGCAAGAAAAUGUCAGUCACAUCUUAGUCAAGUUGCCUAUGUUUUUCCUCUCUUGAUUCCCAUCCACCUCCAAACCCUUUUUUUCUCUUCUGCCUGCCUGUCUGAAAAUACCUUAGGAGUUCUGGCCACGGAAGGAAGUUCCUAGGAUAUGAAGAAAAAUGGAGCUGUUCCUUAUGGAUCUAAUAACAUUUCCUCAAGUCUAGUUGAUUUCAGGAGACAUUCAUUGGAAAAAUUAUCGGAACUGUUGCAGCAAGGGUUAUUUGGAAAUUGACAGUGAAAACAGGAACUAUUUAUCAGGUCAAAUUCUAUUCCAGUUUCCUUUGCCUCUGACCUGAGCUGCCUGGCGUUUAGUUUUUACAAAUGAGUCUGAUAGUCUGUCUGUCAGACAGAGUUAUUAUUCCAUUAGUGUCUUACUUUUCUUUCACUUUUUUCUUUUGUUAUUUUUUAAAUAAAAUUCAAUCUUAAAUUACAUUAAUAUUGUAUUUAAUGAACAAAUCGUGAUAGCCCACCUUUAUGGGCUAUAACAUGAUCUUUUAAUAUAAAUGUUGCAUGGUCAAAUCAAGGUAAUUGACCUCUCACUUCAUUUGCCUAUCACUUUUUAUGGUAGGACAUUUGAAAUGUCUGAUUCCAGUUGCGAAAUAUAAAAUAUAUUAUUUUGGUUUCUGCCCAAUUGGCUGUGCAAUGGAUGGUAGAAUGUUUUCCUUCCAUCCGUACCCUUUGACCAACAUCUUCCAUUGGCCCCUAACUCCCCAAGGCUCUGGAUAACCACCAGAUUCUUUGUUUCUUAAUUACCAAGGUGUCUUGGGUAGGAAACAGUACCACUCAGGUAAAUCUCCCUCAGCUAUAAAUACUUGUCCUGUAUUUAGACUUGACCCUGUGUAUACUGAGCAGCUGGUUGGCAAUGGUUUUCUUGUUGUUAUCUGGAUUUGGGGAAGACUCUGUUUUUCUCCCCAAAUACUAACAAUUAAAAGAAAAGAAAACCUCUGUGAGGCUACUGUGGGGGUACUGUAUUUAUUUGGACUGGAUAAGAAAGUGGUGUUACCGGCCGUGUAUUUAGAAUUGCACUGUCAAGUUUAUCUUCUCACCUGUUGUUGCUGUACACAUUAAUUAUUCUUGCUGAGAAAUGGUGAUGCCUCUCCUUCCAAAGGCUUAGUAAAUACUUUUGUAUUGGCCCCUGGAGCCUCCUCCCACCCAUCACGAUGAGUUCCUGUGCCCUCUUCCCACACAGAAUCUCAUGAUACAAUCGCAUAUCUUCUCAUACUUACCUUUGCUCUUGAUGCCUAGUAUCAUGUGGGAAGGGUUUGUGACAUUGUUGCCAUUGCAGACAUGUCCUCGUAUUUGGUAAAGUUGGGAUCACAAAGCAGCACUCUAUUUUUAAUCUUUUCUCUGACUGUGUUGAUAUUCCCCUAAUAUUCAGGGCCCUCCCUAGGAGGUUCCCAACAUGUACUUUAAAGGUCCUUUAAUGACAAAUGAGGGUACUUACUGUGCUUUCUUUAGCCGCCUAAUCCCUCCAAGGACCUAGACUCAUACCCAGCAUGUUGAAAGCAUGUGUGGUUCCAGUUUCCCGGCACAACAGCAGCACAGUCUUGGACUCUGUACAGCCACGUCUAUCUUUAACAAAUGUUGUUUCCUGGAAAGAAAUUAACGCUAACAUUUCAUUGUAUGCUAUAAUUACUGAAAGGGAUCCUGUGUGUGUUCAUUGCUGGAGACCAUGUGGAUCAGGCACCAAUCUUAUGUUUAUACUCUGAUGGGUGAGAUUGGAGGUUCCGUUUCUGUCCUAUGCUUUCUUCCUGGAGACACCCCAGUAGAGGUGGCAAGCACUGAUUUUCUCUGUUCCAGAAGCCACUGCCAUUCUUUUUGAGAUCUGCAUUUGCCCUCAGAGCAGUUGUAUCUGAACUAAGCCUGAGAAAUGCUCGAGAGAGCCAUCCUGCCUGAAUGUGGAAUGUUCUCCAAAGAUUCUGAGAUGGUCCUUGAGCAGAGUGCUUCGGUGUCCAGUGUCAUCCGAAGGAGAAGGAAGCAUGGCCUUGUCAGAGCAAUAGGAAUUUCUUUUGUGUGUAUGUAUGUGCACGUUUAUAUGCAGAUGCCCAUGUGUGUACAUGUAUGUGCAGGCCAGAAGUUGACACCAGAUGACCGCCUCUGUAACUCCCCAUCUUAAUAUUCUUUUAGGGGAGAAAGCGUUUACUUGGCCUUAUAGUUCCAGAGGGGACACAGUCUAUCCUGUUGAGGAAGACACAGCGGCAGGGGCAGGAAGCCAAUCUGACUGUCAGGAAGCAGAAACCUCCGUGUUGUUUAGUUGUUUGUUUAUUGAUUUAAGUUCUAGAUUGUUCUCCAUGCUUUUAAUUUACAUUUUUAAUUGCUUUGAGAAUUUUGUAUAUAAGACCUGUAUUUACAUCACUUCUACCCUUCCCUCUCAUCCCUCCAGUUCCUUCCAUGUCUCCCCCAAUUCUCUCAAGUUUAUGGUCUCUUUUGUAAUUAUUAUUGUUCUCUAUCUAUGUAUCUAUAUCUAUAUACACCUACAUGCUUGUAUUUGAGACUAAGUCUCUCAUGGAACUUGACAUUCACUGGUUAGACCAGCUGGUCAGGGAGUAACAGGGGUCUGCCUCUGUCUCCUCGGCCCCACUAAUACAGAGGCACAUGACCAUGAACAGUUUUUUAUGAGAGUGCUGGUGUCCAAACUCUGGUGCUCAUGCUUACAGAACAGGCACAUUACCCAUCGAGCCAUCCCCCCUGCCCUGUAAUGUGAAUUUCUAGCGCUAAUGGGACCUUUGCUCUCCUACCACAGUGAGAAAAAUCCUGGUAAUUGCGCUCUUGGAGAAAAGAAGCCCUUCCCAGCUUUGCAAGACCUUGAAGUUCUGGAAUUAAGGACAUAAUAAGUCCAUGGUGUUUAAUGAUUCAUUAUUGAAGUUUGUAUCAUCUACAUACAAAUUCACAUCACUUGGACAAGGACCAUUAAUAAUUGAGCUAGAAACAAGAGCUUGUGUGUCUUUGUGAGUUUGUGAGUGUGUAUUAUAAAAAUUUGGAGCCCAUAUUGAUUACAAUAUGUUUUCUGCAUUCUAAGUAUUAGUAUCUGUUUGUCCAGAGGGUGAGUCUAGUUAUUUGGAGGGAAAGAAUAAAUUGCCAAAGUGUUGUUUGUUGUAGAAGGGGCUUGUUUUCAGCACCUUGGUGUGGUAUGACCUGAGCUGCCAUCUGGACUCUAAAGCUGGGGUUUUUAAUCCACGCUUUGUCAUUUAUGAGCUCCACACCCUUUCAAAAGGUCCUUAACUCCUUCUGGGCCUCACUUUAGUUUAACCGGGAGCGAUGAUUCCUGUCUCUACAUCUGGUGAGGUUUUUUGCUGUGACUAUGUGUUGAUAUUCUGAUUUCUGAAUCCUAGAAAAGGUUGUAAAAUAAAAAGUAAGUAAAUUUGCACAAGGAAUCUAGCAGUUCUCCUUGGGAGAAAGGGACCAAGAUCUCAAUCCCCAUUUGCAAAGGCAGGUCGCAGCAAUCUUCAUGGUGGAAUCGUGAUGUGGACCAUAAGUCUACCUGAAGGUGUCUGUCCCAGAACCAGAGUCGUCUGUGCUUCCGGUGAGCAAUGCUAGGGCUUGUCUUGUUACAAAACAACAGAAGAAUCUGCCCGGAGCUCAGAGCUUGCCCUUGAGGCUUUGGAGGGAUACAAACAUGCAGAUCACUGCAGCUUCAUGGCCCAAGUCAUUUAAUAAAGAACUUUUUAUAGUCUCAGACACAUGCUAAGAACCUGCUCCAUUUAAUUGCUAUUACUUAUGUUAAUGUAGUCAUCUUUGGAAGCUUGCUGAUGUAUUUUACUGUUUGUUUGAACAGAGACUAAGAUAGCCAAGGCUAGCCUUGAACUCCUGACCCUCCUGUUUCUACCUCCCAAGUACUGGGAUGGCAACAUGCACUACACCUUCGCUCAGGAAGCCUGUUCUUCUGAGGGAAGUCAAUCAAAACAGAGGCUACACAGACUAACUCUGUCACAAGUUGUGGCUCCCUUCCAGCACAAAGGGGUGGAAUAUAUAUAAAGUACUGAAAAACAGUACUUUAGCGAAGAAAAAACAAGGUAACUCCAGAUCAUAUUGUACGGAAUGUUUGGAGCCUGAAAAUAAACAUACGUCUUAUUCAUCAUGCUUAGUCAUGUCCACUGUUGCAGCAAUUGCUCUUGUUUGGGGGUGGCCUCUCCCUGCACAUCUGAGACAGGCCUCAGUCCAGCGCCCCCAACCUCAGUCUCCUGAGAGCCAGGGUCACAGACGUGCCGCCACUCCUGACUUUAAUAGGGUUCGCUCUUAAUACUUCAUCCUGAGUUCCAACAGAACCUCUGAGUCACUGCACCAUGCAGUAACCUUUACGGCAGUGGUUCUUGGCCUUCCUAACACUGUGACCCUUUAAUGCAGUUCUUCAUGUUGUGGUGACCCCCCCAACCAUAAAAUUAUUUUCUUUGCUACUUCAUAACUGUAAUUUUGCUAAUGUUAUGAACUGUAAUGUAAAUUCUGUGUUUUCUGAAGGUCUUAGGGCAACCCCUGUGAAAGGGUCCUUCAGUCCUCCCCAAAGGGGUCAUGACAUACAGGUUGAGAACCAAUGCUUUACGGGAUGGAAGCUGUCCACAAAGCCUUCAUGGAGCUCUGGGUUGCUAUUUAAUGCUUGGUUCCCUCCAGCUCAGCAGACCUGGAAUCUAUCACUGUGCUGAGGAAGGCACUUAGAAGAGGAAUUCUUAUGACUCACCUAAGUGUUCCCUGCUAAAGAAGAUGCAGGCUGUGCCCUUUCUGAGGAAUGAGGGGAAGUUCUGGUCACAGGAGGCCAUCAUUCCACAGGUUUCCAGGACCAAUCCAUACAAGAUGCAGCCAAGCCAUGCAGUAUGAGACCAAGCCAUGCAGUGUGAGACCAAGCCAUGCAGUGUGAGACCAAGCCAUGCAGUAUGAGACCAAGCCAUGCAGUAUGAGACCAAGCCAUGCAGUGUGAGACCAAGCCAUGCAUUGUGAGACCAAGCCAUGCAGUGUGAGACCAAGCCAUGCCUUGUGAGACCAAGCCAUGCAGUGUGAGACCAAGCCAUGCAGUGUGAGACCAAGCCAUGCAGUGUGAGACCAAGCCAUGCAGUGUGAGACCAAGCCAUGCAGUAUGCAACCAAGCCAUGCAAUUUGAGAUUAAGUCAUGCAGUAUACCUCAGAACAGUGAGCUUAUAUCUUUCUGAUUCUCUUUUUGUAUAUGCCUCCAUGUCUGAGAAACCCUGACUUGGCUGAUAUGGGCCUUCUUUAGGUAUGUUAAGAUCUUUGAGGUCUUGUCUCCACUGGCUGGCAGUAGUGCCUAGUUAUGUUAAAGUAACAGUGCAGACUGUGGUUAUGAGCCAUUGUAUCCUGUUUUUAGGUGAUGCCUUGGUACAGUCCUAGUCCUUUAUGUCUGUGUUCUUGAAGGGUCUGCUUCUAUCCAGGAAUCCCAAGUCACCACGUGCUGGUAACUUCAUGUACAUGGGGUUAUACUUCAUACAUCAAUUCUGUUGGGGAAUCCUAGUACUACGUCUAAAAUACAGGUCUCAAUUUCACCGACUUCUCUAGCCUGUCACUCUAUCACAAAACCCCAGUUUUAUCCACUCCAGCACUAUAGUAGUAAUUAGUAUUUCCCACCCGCCCCUAGAUAUAAAAACAAAGCCAUUAAUAGAGAAUAGUCUUUUUUUUUUAGAGACAGUUUUCAGAGGUAACAAAAUCAGAGGAUACUCAAUUCCUCAUAGGUGUUGUAUUUUCAUAUAACCUAAGUGUAUUCUCCCUUAUAUUUUAAAUAGCCUCUUUUAUAAUGCCUAAUAGGAUAUUAGUUCUCUAUAACUACUUGAAAUAAUGCAUUGUUUAGGAAAUAAUGCCAAGGAAAGGCUGUUGGUCUUUAAUAUAAUGCAUUUUUUCCAAAUACUUUUGAUGUGUGGUUGGUUGAGAUAGUAGACUUGGGACCUAUUUAAGGCCAACAGUGUAUGUAGUUCAGGUCCAUAGCUGUAAUGGUUAAGGAUGAGAGUCAAAUAAUGAACCACAGGGGAGAUACAGGAUGUUAGACAUUAAAUGUUUAAUAAUUUCAUCAACAUGCUUAUCAGUGGUUUGCUGGCCUGCACCAGGAAACCACUGGUUUGGCUCUUGUUAAGCAAGAAAGGCACUGGAGAACAUUCAAAUGCUCACACAUUGCUUUUUGUUGCUGUCUUAUUGGCUUUGGCAGAAGUGGAACCACGGCCAGGCUGACUGGGACAGCUGCUCAACCCUUGAAUAUACUUCCGGUUGACGCCAUAGUUACCAGGUCUUUCUGUGUUGUCCGGAAGUAGAUAACCCCAGUGGACUUCAUCUCCGAAUGGGCAAUAUCAAUUUGUAUUGCUGCUGUUGGGCUAUUGUUUAUAUGUAAAUGAUUCUCCUGUUUUAACCUAGAUAGCUGCUGCUCAUAAAAAUGUCCUGACUAAGCCAGGCAGAGGUGGCACAUGUCUUUAAUCCCAGCACUUGGGAGGCAGAGGUAGGCGGAUUGCUGUGAGUUCAAGGCCAGCCUGGUCUACAGAGCGAGAUCCAGGACAGGCACCAAAACUGCACAGAGAAACACUAUCUCGAAAAAAAAAAACAAAACCAAAAAAAAAAAAAAAAAAAAAAAAGAAUGUCCUGGCCAGGUAGUGGUAGCACAAGCCUUUAACCCCAGGAGGCAGAGGCAACUUAAACUCUAUGAGUUCGAAGCCAGCCUGGUCUGCAGAGUAGGUUCCAGGACAGCCAGGGCUGUUAUGCAGAGAAACCCUGUCUCCAAAAACAAAAGAAGAAGAAGAAGAGGAAGAGGAAGAGGAAAGUAAAUGUGAAGUACUUUAUAUCCAAAGUAGAUAUUCCUCUCUAGGUAGCUCUGGCUGGCCUAGAGAGAACUAUCUAUGUAGACCAGGCUGACCUCCAACUCAUAGAGAUCCACCUAUCUCUGCCUCCCCAGUGAAUGGUGAGAUUAAAGGCCUAUGCUACCAUGCCCAGCCCUAGGUGGAUAUUUUAAAGCUCAUGCUGGGACCUAGAUAUUGAAUAAAAUAUAGAAAGUCCAUGCUCAGUUGGCACAUAAUUUGUUUCUUUAAAAAAAACUAGUUCUGGUGGCUAUUGCAACACUGUGAGGUGGACAUCUGAACAGAGCGCCUAGCCUGCUGGGUGCUGUUCCAGUUCUGUAUUCCAGUCGCUGGACUCCAUUUCCUGUUCUUUUCCUCCCAUUUUCAAUCCCAUUUUUCAUUUUUUUCUUCCAGCUUACUGGAUGUUGGAUUAUUAACACAGAGUUUCUCGUAGUUCAGCUCAGUCCCAGGAAGUUGUUCAGAGAACAUGCUGCAGUAAACCCAACAUGGAGUCACCCCUGACCUGCAGUGUUAUCAUGUCUGACUCACUUCCAGAAGAGAGAACCACCUCCUGUGACCUCUUCCCCUGUAUUUCAGGCCAUAAAUAGGUGCUAGGGCCCUGCCAAGUUGGGUUGCUGUGGCUCGUAAGGGACUGUCAGUUCCUUACAAAUACUGCACAGCUGCAAGGUUCCUAUGCCACCCAAGGUGACUCAUCACAUCUGCUUCUCUUAAAAGGGGAAUACGAGCAGUGUCACCUCUUGGCUGUCUAUCAUGAUAAUGCAAUUAUGAGCUUUCUCUUUGCUGGCUGCUCAGAGAAGUCCUCGGUAACCAAACAGGACAUCUGGAGAACCUAAUGCUAGCUUACCUAACCAAGACAAGAGGCAGUUAGAGUGGAAUUUCUGAAUAGUUUUAUUAUAUUUGAUUUCAUUUAUUUACUUAUUUAUAGGGGAAGAGAAAUAGGGUCUUACAAUGUGAUUCUGGCUACCUUGGAACUCAGAGAUCUUCCUCUCAGAUGCUAGGAUUAAAGGCAUAUGCCAUCAUGCUCAGUUACUUAAUUUUAUACACACACACACACACACACACACACACACACACACACACACACACACGGGAGUGGGGGCGAGACAGAGACAGAGACAGACACAGAGAGGGGCAAGUUAUUUUAAUGAAUUGCUCACAUCAUUAUGGAGCCUUGCAAAGCCAAAUUUCUGCAGGGCAGACUGAGAAUUAGCUCAGGCAAUCAUUUCAAGUGCAGUGUGGAAGCAGAAUUCCUUUGUGAGAGAUCUCAGCCUCUGAUCUUAACACCUUUCAUGGAUUCUGAAAGACUCACCCAUGGACCUAUCUACCCACAGACCCACCCAAGGACCCUCCCAGCCCACAGACCCACUCAUAUUAUGGAGAAUAAUCUGUUUUCCUGGUUAUAAAAUAUACCAGCUAUGAGCGUUAAAUAUAUCUACAAAAUACCGUGACCCCUUUAUUUAGGCUAGUCUAAAUAAACCACUGGCCACUGUAGGUUAGGCAAAGCUGACACAGAGAACUGUCUCACUAAUGUAUCUGAAAGAAGCAAUCUGAAUCCUUUGUCAUGUCAGAGGAGAACAAUUCCAGUGAAGGUAACUAGUCACCACCAAAGCCCUCCAGGUUCUUGGUUCAUCUUGUGAUGAACCGAGAUGAUGAAAUAUCCUUCACAGUCUCAGGGGUUUGAACACUUGGUCCCAAAUUAGUAUACUGUUUAGAAUGUAAGGCCUUGCUGGUGGAAAUAUAUCACUAGGGAUGAGGAGAAAUAGGAGUUGAGAAUACAUAGCCUGAUCUUAUUUCCAAUUGACUCUACUUCAUGCUUGCCGUAGAAGAUGAAACCUUUCAGCUUUCUGCUCCCGCUGACCACCUACCACCUGCUGCCACGCCACCCUCCACGAUGGACUCAGCCCUCUGGAACUGUAAACCCAAAUAAACUCUUCCUUCUAUAA
This is a long non-coding RNA of Peromyscus californicus insignis, 9648 nucleotides long. RefSeq lists it as uncharacterized. The record is from RefSeq and is a predicted model, not a curated record. The transcript has 3 exons. NCBI's taxonomy places the organism in Eukaryota, Metazoa, Chordata, Mammalia, Rodentia, Cricetidae.